Molecule: non-coding RNA, 61 nt
Organism: Pantoea sp. PSNIH1
Lineage: Bacteria; Pseudomonadati; Pseudomonadota; Gammaproteobacteria; Enterobacterales; Erwiniaceae
Source: Rfam
GCCCUUUCAAGAGCUAAGCCAUUGCGAGUGCCGGAGAUAAGCGCCGGGUAGGGCAUUACCC